This 301-nucleotide ribosomal RNA is filed under the name uncultured bacterium. RNAcentral's name for it is "partial 16S ribosomal RNA". It matches the Rfam family "Bacterial small subunit ribosomal RNA", at positions 509 to 807 of the family's 1533-position model. The record is from RNAcentral.
CAGUCGCCACGGUAAAACGUAGGUGGCAAGCGUUGUCCGGAAUUAUUGGGCGUAAAGGGCUCGCAGGCGGUUUCUUAAGUCUGAUGUGAGAGCCCCCGGCUCAACCGGGGAGGGUCAUUGGAAACUGGGAAACUUGAGUGCAGAAGAGGAGAGUGGAAUUCCACGUGUAGCGGUGAAAUGCGUAGAGAUGUGGAGGAACACCAGUGGCGAAGGCGACUCUCUGGUCUGUAACUGACGCUGAGGAGCGAAAGCGUGGGGAGCGAACAGGAUUAGAUACCCGCGUAGUCCCUGUCUCUUAUAC